GAUGAACGCUGGCGGCGUGCUUAACACAUGCAAGUCGAACGGUGAAGGCGGAGCUUGCUCUGCUGGAUCAGUGGCGAACGGGUGAGUAACACGUGAGCAAUCUGCCCCUGACUCUGGGAUAAGCGCUGGAAACGGCGUCUAAUACUGGAUACGAGCUGCGAAGGCAUCUUCAGCAGCUGGAAAGAAUUUCGGUCAGGGAUGAGCUCGCUGCCUAUCAGCUUGUUGGUGAGGUAAUGGCUCACCAAGGCGUCGACGGGUAGCCGGCCUGAGAGGGUGACCGGCCACACUGGGACUGAGACACGGCCCAGACUCCUACGGGAGGCAGCAGUGGGGAAUAUUGCACAAUGGGCGAAAGCCUGAUGCAGCAACGCCGCGUGAGGGACGACGGCCUUCGGGUUGUAAACCUCUUUUAGCAGGGAAGAAGCGAAAGUGACGGUACCUGCAGAAAAAGCGCCGGCUAACUACGUG
Molecule: ribosomal RNA, 468 nt
Filed under: uncultured bacterium
Lineage: Bacteria
Description: partial 16S ribosomal RNA
Rfam family: Bacterial small subunit ribosomal RNA
Source: RNAcentral